This 371-nucleotide ribosomal RNA is filed under the name uncultured organism. Its description in RNAcentral is "bacterial SSU rRNA". It matches the Rfam family "Bacterial small subunit ribosomal RNA", at positions 527 to 896 of the family's 1533-position model. The record is from RNAcentral.
GUAGGGGGCAAGCGUUGUCCGGAAUCAUUGGGCGUAAAGCGCGUGUAGGCGGCCAGAAAAGUCCGCUGUGAAAACUCGAGGCUCAACUUCGAGCUGUCGGUGGAAACUUUCUGGCUAGAGUCCGGAAGAGGAGAAUGGAAUUCCUGGUGUAGCGGUGAAAUGCGCAGAUAUCAGGAAGAACACCCGUGGCGAAGGCGGUUCUCUGGGACGGUACUGACGCUGAGACGCGAAAGCGUGGGGAGCGGACAGGAUUAGAUACCCUGGUAGUCCACGCCGUAAACGAUGGGUGCUAGGUGUGGGGGGUGUCGACUCCCUCCGUGCCGAAGCUAACGCAUUAAGCACCCCGCCUGGGGAGUACGGCCGCAAGGCUA